RNAcentral lists this ribosomal RNA (253 nucleotides) under uncultured bacterium. RNAcentral's name for it is "partial 16S ribosomal RNA". It matches the Rfam family "Bacterial small subunit ribosomal RNA", at positions 524 to 776 of the family's 1533-position model. The record is from RNAcentral.
UACGGAGGGUGCAAGCGUUGCUCGGAAUUAUUGGGCGUAAAGGGUAGGUAGGUGGUCUCAUUUGUCUGGGGUGAAAGCCUUGAGCUUAACUCAAGAAGUGCCCCAGAAACGGUGAGACUGGAGUCCUGGAGAGGGUCGUGGAAUUCCCGGUGUAGCGGUGAAAUGCGUAGAGAUCGGGAGGAACACCAAUGGCGAAGGCAGCUCGCUGGGACGGUACUGACGCUGAGACGCGAAAGCGUGGGGAGCAAACAGG